ACGUCCCUGCCCUUUGUACACACCGCCCGUCGCUACUACCGAUUGAAUGGCUUAGUGAGACUCUCGGAUCGGGUAUUUCGAACCGGAAACGGUUUUUUUAUCUGAGAAGUUUGUCAAACUUGGUCAUUUAGAGGAAGUAAAAGUCGUAACAAGGUUUCCGUAGGUGAACCUGCGGAAGGAUCAUUAGAAAUUUUUUUAUGUAUUCAAAAAUUUUAAAUCUAUGUGAUAUUGUAUUAUUUGUUAUUUAAAUAAACGAGAUAACUUUCAACAACGGAUCUCUUGGCUCUUGCAUCGAUGAAGAACGCAGCGAAAUGCGAUAAGUAAUGUGAAUUGCAGAAUUCCGUGAAUCAUCAAAUCUUUGAACGCAAAUUGCACUCCUUGGUAUUCCGAGGAGUAUGCUUGUUUGAGGGUUGUUCCAAUAAAUUCGUUUUUUUUAAAAAUGGAUCUGAGUUUUCCAAUUUUGGUAACUUGAAAUUUAUCUUAACGAUAUCUUUGGUAUGAUAUUGAAAAUGGUCAUAUUCUUACAUCUCGUGAGUUUCAUUAACAAUUGAUUACCUGUCGUUACGUCGUGUCAUUUGCCCAAUCCUUUUUUGAUUGGGUCAUGUGAUACAAUUCUUCUUUCAACACCUCAAGUCAAGUAAGAAUACCCGCUGAACUUAAGCAUAUCAAUAAGCGGAGGAAAAGAAACUAACAAGGAUUCCCUUAGUAACGGCGAGUGAAGCGGGAAGAGCUCAAAUUUUAAAUCUCCGAGGUUUUCCUUGGCGAGUUGUAAUUUGAAGAGAGUGUUUUGACGUUCGGGUUCAAUCCAAAUCCUUUGGGAUAAGGUAUCAUAGAGGGUGAGAAUCCCGUUUAUGAUUGAAUCUCGGGUGUCGCUUAAUUCACUUUCCAAGAGUCGAGUUGUUUGGGAUUGCAGCUCAAAACGGGUGGUAAAUUUCACCUAAGGCUAAAUAUGUGCAAGAGACCGAUAGCGAACAAGUACCGUGAGGGAAAGAUGAAAAGAACUUUGAAAAGAGAGUUAAACAGUACGUGAAAUUGUUGAAAGGGAAACGAUUGAAGUCAGUCAUACCAACGGGAAAUCAACCUUUUGAGCUUGGUCUCGUGGGUUUUGAAGAGUUUCAAAGCCUUCGGAUUCGCGGGAUUGGGAUCUCUCGGUGUACUUUUUCGUACGGUUAGUCAACAUCGGUUUUAAAUGUCAUAAAAUGACUGGAGGAAUGUAGCUUCGAUCUCGUAUUGAAGUGUUAUAGCCUUUGGUAGAUGUGACGUUUGAGACCGAGGAUUGCAACGGAUACCCUUCAGGGCUAUUCGUCUGAUCUCUGAUACGUUGCCUUGAUGUUGAAAGCUUGCUUAUGAUGUUAGGGUAUUACGGUCAAAAGGUUAGAACGAAUUACGUUCGUUAAGGAUGUUGACGUAAUGACUUUAAACGACCCGUCUUGAAACACGG
RNAcentral lists this ribosomal RNA (1441 nucleotides) under uncultured Acaulosporaceae. RNAcentral's name for it is "eukaryotic LSU rRNA". The stretch from base 624 to 1441 matches the Rfam family "Eukaryotic large subunit ribosomal RNA", at positions 1 to 664 of the family's 3401-position model. The record is from RNAcentral. Lineage: Eukaryota; Fungi; Glomeromycota; Glomeromycetes; Diversisporales; Acaulosporaceae.